Molecule: ribosomal RNA, 292 nt
Filed under: uncultured bacterium
Lineage: Bacteria
Description: partial 16S ribosomal RNA
Rfam family: Bacterial small subunit ribosomal RNA
Source: RNAcentral
GUGUCAGCAGCCGCGGUAAUACGAAGGGGGCUAGCGUUGCUCGGAAUUACUGGGCGUAAAGGGCGCGUAGGCGGCCUUGUAAGUCAGGCGUGAAAUUCCUGGGCUCAACCUGGGGGCUGCGCUUGAGACUGUGAGGCUUGAGGACGGAAGAGGCUCGUGGAAUUCCCAGUGUAGAGGUGAAAUUCGUAGAUAUUGGGAAGAACACCGGUGGCGAAGGCGGCGAGCUGGUCCGUAUCUGACGCUGAGGCGCGACAGCGUGGGGAGCAAACAGGAUUAGAUACCCCAGUAGUCC